AUUGAACGCUGGCGGCAGGCCUAACACAUGCAAGUCGAGCGGAUGAAGGGAGCUUGCUCCUGGAUUCAGCGGCGGACGGGUGAGUAAUGCCUAGGAAUCUGCCUGGUAGUGGGGGAUAACGUCCGGAAACGGGCGCUAAUACCGCAUACGUCCUGAGGGAGAAAGUGGGGGAUCUUCGGACCUCACGCUAUCAGAUGAGCCUAGGUCGGAUUAGCUAGUUGGUUGGGUAAAGGCCUACCAAGGCGACGAUCCGUAACUGGUCUGAGAGGAUGAUCAGUCACACUGGAACUGAGACACGGUCCAGACUCCUACGGGAGGCAGCAGUGGGGAAUAUUGGACAAUGGGCGAAAGCCUGAUCCAGCCAUGCCGCGUGUGUGAAGAAGGUCUUCGGAUUGUAAAGCACUUUAAGUUGGGAGGAAGGGCAGUAAGUUAAUACCUUGCUGUUCUGACGGUACCAACAGAAUAAGCACCGGCUAACUUCGUG
RNAcentral lists this ribosomal RNA (484 nucleotides) under uncultured bacterium. RNAcentral describes it as "partial 16S ribosomal RNA". It matches the Rfam family "Bacterial small subunit ribosomal RNA", at positions 30 to 507 of the family's 1533-position model. The record is from RNAcentral.